RNAcentral lists this ribosomal RNA (555 nucleotides) under Escherichia coli. RNAcentral's name for it is "partial 23S ribosomal RNA". It matches the Rfam family "Bacterial large subunit ribosomal RNA", at positions 711 to 1263 of the family's 2925-position model. The record is from RNAcentral. Lineage: Bacteria; Pseudomonadati; Pseudomonadota; Gammaproteobacteria; Enterobacterales; Enterobacteriaceae.
AGACCCGAAACCCGGUGAUCUAGCCAUGGGCAGGUUGAAGGUUGGGUAACACUAACUGGAGGACCGAACCGACUAAUGUUGAAAAAUUAGCGGAUGACUUGUGGCUGGGGGUGAAAGGCCAAUCAAACCGGGAGAUAGCUGGUUCUCCCCGAAAGCUAUUUAGGUAGCGCCUCGUGAAUUCAUCUCCGGGGGUAGAGCACUGUUUCGGCAAGGGGGUCAUCCCGACUUACCAACCCGAUGCAAACUGCGAAUACCGGAGAAUGUUAUCACGGGAGACACACGGCGGGUGCUAACGUCCGUCGUGAAGAGGGAAACAACCCAGACCGCCAGCUAAGGUCCCAAAGUCAUGGUUAAGUGGGAAACGAUGUGGGAAGGCCCAGACAGCCAGGAUGUUGGCUUAGAAGCAGCCAUCAUUUAAAGAAAGCGUAAUAGCUCACUGGUCGAGUCGGCCUGCGCGGAAGAUGUAACGGGGCUAAACCAUGCACCGAAGCUGCGGCAGCGACACUGUGUGUUGUUGGGUAGGGGAGCGUUCUGUAAGCCUGUGAAGGUGUGCUG